This 1946-nucleotide long non-coding RNA is filed under the name Salmo salar (Atlantic salmon). RNAcentral's name for it is "lncRNA (ENSSSAG00000113692.1)". The record is from RNAcentral. Lineage: Eukaryota; Metazoa; Chordata; Actinopteri; Salmoniformes; Salmonidae.
CAGGUGUGUUAAUCUACUCCUCUACAGGUGAGUCAGGUGUGUUAAUCUAGUCCUCAAUAGGUGAGUCAGGUGUGUUAAUCUAGUCCUCAAUAGGUGAGUCAGGUGUGUUAAUCUAGUCCUCUAUAGGUGAGUCAGGUGUGUUAAUCUCCUCUAUAGUUGAGUUAGGUGUGUUAAUCUAGUCCUCUAUAGGUGAGUCAGGUGUGUUAAUCUCCUCUCUAGGUGAGUCAGGUAUGUUAAUCUAGUCCUCUACAGGUGAUUCAGGUGUGUUAAUCUCCUCUAUAGGUGAGUCAGGUGUGUUAAUCUAGUCCUCUAUACGUGAGUCAGGUGUGUUAAUCUAGUCCUCUAUAGGUGAGUCAGGUGUGUUAAUCUAGUCCUCUAUAGGUGAGUCAGGUGUGUUAAUCUCCUCCUCUAUAGGUGAGUCAGGUGUGUUAAUCUAGUCCUCUACAGGUGAGUCAGGUAUGUUAAUCUCGACCUCUACAGGUGAGUCAGGUGUGUUAAUCUACUCCUCUAUAGGUGAGACAGGUGUGUUAUUCUCUAUAGGUGAGUCAGGUGUGUAAAUCUAGUCCUCUACAGGUGAGUCAGGUGUGUUAAUCUAGUCCUCUACAGGUGAGUCAGGUGUGUUAAUCUAGUCCUCUAUAGGUGAGUCAGGUGUGUUAAUCUCCUCCUCUAUAGGUGAGUCAGGUGUGUUAAUCUCGUCCUCUACAGGUGAGUCAGGUGUGUUAAUCAACUCCUCUAUAGGUGAGACGGGUGUGUUAAUCUCUAUAGGUGAGUCAGGUGUGUAAAUCUAGUCCUCUAUAGGUGAGUCAGGUGUGUUAAUCUCCUCUAUAGGUGAGUCAGGUGUGUUAAUCUCUAUAGGUGAGUCAGGUGUGUAAAUCUAGUCCUCUACAGGUGAGUCAGGUGUGUUAAUCUACUCCUCUAUAGGUGAGUCAGGUGUGUUAAUCUACUCCUCUAUAGGUGAGACAGGUGUGUAAAUCUAGUCCUCCACAGGUGAGUCAGGUGUGUUAAUCUAGUCCUCUAUAGGUGAGUCAGGUGUGUUAAUCUAGUCCUCUAUAGGUGAGUCAGGUGUGUUCAUCUCCUCUAUCGGUAAAUCAGGUGUGUUAAUCUCAAUAGUUGAGUCAGGUGUGUUAAUCUAGUCCUCUAUAGGUGAGUCAGGUGUGUUAAUCUAGUCCUCUACAGGUGAGUCAGGUGUGUUAAUCUAGUCCUCUACAGGUGAGUCAGGUGUGUUAAUCUAGUCCUCUACAGGUGAGUCAGGUGUGUUAAUCUAGUCCUCUAUAGGUGAGUCAGGUGUGUUAAUCUAGUCCUCUAUAGGUGAGUCAGGUGUGUUAAUCUAGUCCUCUACAGGUGAGUCAGGUGUGUUAAUCUAGUCCUUUAUAGGUGAGUCAGGUGUGUUAAUAUAGUCCUCUACAGGUGAGUCAGGUGUGUUAAUCUAGUCCUCUAUAGGUGAGUCAGGUAUGUUAAUCUAGUCCUCUACAGGUGAGUCAGGUGUGUUAAUCUAGUCCUCUACAGGUGAGUCAGGUGUGUUAAUCUAGUCCUCUAUAGGUGAGUCAGGUGUGUUAAUCUCCUCCUCUAUAGGUGAGUCAGGUGUGUUAAUCUAGUCCUCUAUAGGUGAGUCAGGUAUGUUAAUCUCGUCCUCCACAGGUGAGUCAGGUGUGUUAAUCUAGUCCUCUAUAGGUGAGUCAGGUGUGUUAAUCUAGUCCUCUAUAGGUGAGUCAGGUGUGUUCAUCUCCUCUAUCGGUAAAUCAGGUGUGUUAAUCUCAAUAGUUGAGUCAGGUGUGUUAAUCUAGUCCUCUAUAGGUGAGUCAGGUGUGUUAAUCUAGUCCUCUACAGGUGAGUCAGGUGUGUUAAUCUAGUCCUCUAUAGGUGAGUCAGGUGUGUUAAUCUCCUCCUCUAUAGGUGAGUCAGGUGUGUUAAUCUAGUCCUCUAUAGGUGAGUCAGGUGUGUUAAUC